CCUACGGGUGUCAGCAGUGAGGAAUAUUGGUCAAUGGCCGGAAGGCUGAACCAGCCACGCCGCGUGAAGGACGAAGGUGCCAAGCAUUGUAAACUUCUUUUGUAAAGGGAAAAAAUCAGGCUCGAGAGCCUGACCGAGGGUACUUGCAGACAAAGCAUCGGCUCACUCCUUGACAGCAGCCGAGGUAAUACGGGGGAUGCGAGCGUUAUCCGGAUUUAUUGGGGUUAAAGGGUGCACAGGCGGAAGAACAAGUCAGCGGUAAAAUUGAGAGGCUAAACCUCUUCGUGUCGUUGAAACUGGUUUUCUUGAGUGAAGGAGAGGUAUGCGGAAUGCGUAGUGUAGCGGUGAAAUGCAUAGAUAUCACGCAGAACUCCGAUGGCGAAGGCAGCAUACCGGCGCUCAACUGACGCUCAUGCACGAAAGUGUGGGUAUCGAACAGGAUUAGAUACCCGAGUAGUC
RNAcentral lists this ribosomal RNA (459 nucleotides) under uncultured bacterium. RNAcentral describes it as "partial 16S ribosomal RNA". It matches the Rfam family "Bacterial small subunit ribosomal RNA", at positions 338 to 795 of the family's 1533-position model. The record is from RNAcentral.